This 254-nucleotide ribosomal RNA is filed under the name uncultured bacterium. RNAcentral describes it as "partial 16S ribosomal RNA". It matches the Rfam family "Bacterial small subunit ribosomal RNA", at positions 524 to 776 of the family's 1533-position model. The record is from RNAcentral.
UACGGAGGGUGCAAGCGUUGUCCGGAUUUAUUGGGUUUAAAGGGUGCGUAGGCGGCUAAUUAAGUCAGCGGUGAAAUUCCAGAGCUCAACUCUGUGAACUGCCAUUGAUACUGGUUGGCUUGAGUACAGAUGAGGUAGGCGGAAUUGACAGUGUAGCGGUGAAAUGCUUAGAUAUUGUCAAGAACACCUAUUGCGAAGGCAGCUUACUAAACUGUAACUGACGCUGAGGCACGAAAGCGUGGGGAGCGAACCGG